Molecule: ribosomal RNA, 332 nt
Filed under: uncultured eukaryote
Lineage: Eukaryota
Description: partial 18S ribosomal RNA
Rfam family: Eukaryotic small subunit ribosomal RNA
Source: RNAcentral
CCCUUAGAUGUUCUGGGCCGCACGCGCGCUACACUGACGGAGGCAGCGAGCAUGUCCUUCGCCGAGAGGUGUGGGGAAUCUUGUGAGUCUCCGUCGUGCUGGGGAUAGAUGGUUGCAAUUGUCGAUCUUGAACGAGGAAUUCCUAGUAAGCGCGAGUCAUCAGCUCGCGCUGAUUACGUCCCUGCCCUUUGUACACACCGCCCGUCGCUACUACCGAUUGGAUGGUUUAGCGAGAACUUUGGACCGGAGCUCGGGUGGUCAGCAAUGGCCGCCCGAGACAUACUUGGAAAUCGCUCCAGCUUGAUCAUCUAGAGGAAGUAAAAGUCGUAACA